CAUUGAAGGAUUCAAACAUAGAAGUAUCACAUUAGGAUACCUCAACCUCACAUGUCUGUACCUCUUUUGCUUGCUUUCAAAUUCAUCGCUGGAACCACAAUAACUCCGCCGCGCCGGAGCUCAUUACAGGCGGAGACGGAGCAUGAAACCACAUCAAACCUACACCGCUCCACUCGUUUCGUCAUUCUCUAUUCGAAUUCAAUAUCAAUUUUGCAUGAUUCUUGCUAUAACUCCCAAAUCAAACCUUUCUAACCAUGAACCCUAAGUUAUAACAUCAUAAAUUAAAUCCUCUUGUGGAGGAAUCAAAGUCUCUAGGGUUAGGGUUAUGAUUCCUCAAGUACUAAUAUACAUAGUGGUAACCGAUUUGAAGCAGCACGAAACAAAAUUUAGACUUACCUAUCGGAUAAGAUGAAGGUUGACAACAACGAAGAAGGCGCACAUUUGUGCAGGUGCAGGUGUAACCGGUUACCACGCCGAAAAUUGGGGCUCUAGGCUGCAAUAUGGGGCUACACGAAGCAGGUGUAACUGAUUACCGGAACCGGUUACCCACACGAAGGUUGGUAGUUCCUGGGUGCAAACAAGGCUAUGUGAAACAUGCGUAACCGGUUACCUACAUGAUAAUAAGGGUUCUGGGUUGCAUGAUGAGGUUAUAUGCAGUAGACGUAACCGAUUACCGUAACCGAUUAUCCAUACAAAAAAUGGUGGUUCUAGGCUUAACUUUGUGCUAACUUGAAGGUGCAUCAUGGAGAACGGAAUGGUAGCUUCCAAGUUCAAAUUUCCUUCCUUUUUCUACUUGAUUCAAGCUAUGUAUGGUGAUGCUAUGUAUUUAUUAAGUAACAUGAGAAUGUAAAUGCAAAUGCAAACUAUACUUAUGUAAUGAACAUUAAUCAAUCCAAUUUUAUGAUUUUAGAUUAAAUCAAAUUUCACUCUUUUUGUAUGAAACGUAUGAAAAACUCUUAUGAAGUGCAAGUUUCUAUAA
Lathyrus oleraceus (garden pea) is the source of this 979-nucleotide long non-coding RNA. RefSeq lists it as uncharacterized. The transcript is spliced from 2 exons. NCBI's taxonomy places the organism in Eukaryota, Viridiplantae, Streptophyta, Magnoliopsida, Fabales, Fabaceae. The record is from RefSeq and is a predicted model, not a curated record.